UCUCCGUAGGUGAACCUGCGGAGGGAUCAUUACAGAGUUCAUGCCCUACCGGGUAGAUCUCCCACCCUAUGUUAUUAUUACUUUGUUGCUUUGGCGGGCCGUUAGGCUCCGGCCCGACUACCGGCCCCGGCUGGUAAGCGCCCGCCAGAGGACCCAAAACCCUGAAUAUUAGUAUCGUCUGAGUACUAUAUAAUAGUUAAAACUUUCAACAACGGACCUCUUGGUUCUG
This 229-nucleotide unclassified non-coding RNA is filed under the name plant metagenome. RNAcentral's name for it is "partial contains small subunit ribosomal RNA, internal transcribed spacer 1, and 5.8S ribosomal RNA". The record is from RNAcentral.